CACAAUUCUUUCAGAUUAUUUAUAUACGAUAUAUUUUAUAUUUAAAAAAAAGUAACUAUAAAUAUUAUUGAAGGAACUAAGUCUUUUCUUUUAUGUGCAUAUUAUGUUAUGUAUAUAUAAUUUAUUAGGAUUAAUAUAUACGUAUUAUUUUUGUAUAUACAAAAUCCAACGCUCGAAGUAUUACCAACUUCACGCUGCUGCAGAUGCUUAACUAUAAAUGACAGCGUGUUCAUAUUUUAAUUACCAUUAGUGUGUUAAGUUGUUUAUUAGCUUACGAAAGUAUAUCGUUCUACGUCGUAAUUAAAAAUAAUUAUUUCAAAUGAAAUUUAAACGUAAUAGUGUUAUUGCCUUAUAUUUAGCCAAAAAACACAACUAGCUAUUGUUCGUGACCAACCAGCAUUUACGUGUGAAAAUAUUUGUAUAUCGAACCAUAAAGCGUUACAGUGAUGCUGAUAACAUCGCAAAAUGUCAUGAAGAAAAACAGCAACAUCAUCAGAAAUGGUUCGAAAACUGAAGCCUCGAAUUCAAAGAAAUUCACAUCAGAGCGCAAUAAAAUUGGCUAAAGAUCUGAACAUGUCCGACAGAAGUAUACGGCGGAUACUAAAAAAUGAACUUAACCUUUUUGCUACGGACGCAUUCUCUGGCGCGCUACACCUGCUGAACGAGCCGCUGCGCUAAAGUGUGCACUUGCGGAACAACAACAAUCGCCCGUCAUACGUUCAAUACCGCGGCAUCUUACGCAGAGCGAGUGUAGUCGCUCGUAGAAAGGAAAGGGUUAAAAAAUUAUCGCAUAAUGCAAUUAGAAAAUAUAAUUUAAUAAUGUAAUUUCGUAUGGAAAGUUUGAAAGCACGGAUAUACACAAAGUCCUACUUCACAUGUCUUAUAUUGUGUAAAUCACUGGGAAGUGUCUACCAGUAAGCCUAAAAGGAUUUUUAUCCGCAGAUCUAGGAGCGCUUUGUCGUAUUAAUUUAAGAUGAAAAGCAGCUACAGAAUUCCAAACGGCAAUAUCUAACAAAUGAAAAAAGUACUUCUUGUAUCGUUUUAUAAAUUUUCUGAUAGAUUUAAUGGAACUAAUAAACAUAUCACAUUUGUCGACAGCGUCCAUUGACGAAUUAUAAUCGAUUAUACAUUUGAAUUUAUGUAUAAAUUCUUGAGUGUUAUAAUUUCUCUUUCCUGUACAUAUAAAUUCGCUAGUAUGGAAAGAAAACAUCCUUUUUAUCACGCCAUUUAAGGACCAGCAAAUUACUCGAUGUCCGAAAAUCAAUUUUAAUUCUCUGUCUAUUAUAGGCAUUCCUUUUCGCCUUUGCUUUACAGCCCCACAAGGAUUUGUUAGAUUUGUACGUAAUAAAUUAAAAAAAGUAGGACUGCUAUAAUAAUUAUCGACAUACAAUGAAUUAUUUUUUCCCAAGUAAGGUUUCAAAAGUGUCAAAAUGAUAUUUCCUGUUUUGCCAAUUUCUUCCGUGUUCUCUGUUACAUGUGAAUCACUACCUGUAUAUACGAUUGUAUAUACGUAGUCUGUUUUACAGCCGCAUAAUACGUACGUUUUAAUGCCAAAUCGGCUUCUUUUGGCCGGUAUAUUAAAAGAUAGUCUGCCCUUAUACAAUAAAAGACUUUCAUCUAUGCAUAAAUUUUAAAAAGGAUGAAAUGAGUUUUUAAACGAUUUUUGAAGUCUGCUUGAAACGCUGCUAAUUUUUUGCACACGAUCAGAAGACCUUUGAUUAUUAUCAACAAAAUGCAACAUUUUCAAUAAAACUAAAUAUCUAUCUCUGCACAUAAUUUUGCUAAAAAUAUCAGUUUUUGAAAGUUUAUCUCUAGACCAAUACUCGCUAAGCCGUAAUUUUUUGUUUCUCGACAUUAGUAGCGUACAUGCGAGAAAACAGUACAGCUCGUCGACAGCUUCGUUGACAAAUUUUGAUGUUACGCAUAUCAUCAUUUACUGUACGUGUCCAAUAGUUAUUUGUCUUAUCCACAAUAAAAUCCACAAAAUCAGGUGAAAAAAAUAAUUGAAAAUAAUCUAAUAUUGCAGAGGAGAAAUUUCUCUUCUGUCUGAAGUCCAGAAUUGGAAGUAUUAAAGUUGUGAAAUGUUAAUUCAACAUUCUCCAUAGCCCAUUGGAUAUUAUUAAAAGUAGUUGAUGGCAAAGCAUCUUCGAUGUAAUAAUUUUCUGAUUCUGACGUGCUAAGUACAUUUUUCCGACGAAUGCUGAUUGCUUUCUUUCUAGUAUAAAUAUUAUUUAUUGCAGUAUAGCUAUCGGAAUCCGAUAAUUUAUCGUACAUUUCAUUACUCUCGUUUUCGAUGGAGUAGCAGUUUCCUCUCCUCCUUUUGUAAUUCGUAUUCAUUAACUUUGAGGUGUGAAAAAUAAACGAAAAAUAUAAAAUGCAAUGAUGUGAAAAAUAUAAAAAAAAUUAAACCACAUACCGUGCAAAUAUUUCGAAAGUGUGAGCGAGCCUAAACAAGCGUGCUGCCGAAAUAUUAUUUUUAUACUGUUGUUCAUUUUGUCAGUCUGAAAUUUUAUAGCGUAAAACAAGUGCAAAAUGCUUGCGAUGGAUAACCAUGGAGAUAAUAUAUAUACUCUGCUCACGAAAGUUCACGGGUAACUUAAGUCACCGUUCGUACAUAGAGAGCGUCAGGCGUUGGGUGACUUAAGUCACCAUUAGUAGCGAAAGGAUUAAGAUGAAUCCUUACAAGAUAUAAAAAGUACAGGAUUUAACCCCAGUACAAAAGGCUGUUCGUUUUCAAUGAUUAAAAGCAUUGAAAACCUUGUACGCAAGCACCGACCUCGUAAAUUUGGUUUUCCUGAUGAAAAAAUUUUUAUAAAAGAAAAAAUUCAACAAUACAUUAACAAACAAUAUAACCGUGUGUAGUUAAAGGGCCAAUCAAGCGACAAUUUAAACAGUAAAUUGCUGAGGAAACAAGUGCCUAGUUCUGUGAUGAUGUGGGCUACUGUUACAGCAAUUGUACCAACGAAAGAUGUUAAAUGAUGCAUUGAUUCCUUGGAUACAUAAACAAUUCGAUGCAAACCGCUGGACAUUCCUAUAGAACUCGACACUUCUAGAAAGCUUGUUCGAUACAACAAUUUUUAAAAAAUCACAUUCCACAUUUCAUUUCUUUGCAGCAGUGACUUCCAUACUCGCCAGACUUAUAUCCGAUAGACUUCUCCAUAUGGUCCAAUUUGGAGGCUACAACAGAAUAUGAAAGUGUGGAAACAUAGAAAUCAGCGUUUCGUCGGAAAUGAAAAUGAAUUCCAUAGAAUCUCAUUCGUGCAGCGUGCAAUGAUUUUAUUGGAAGAUUUGAUGCUAUCAUCCGCGUCAGAAGUAACCAUAUCGAACAGUGACAUCACUUUCAUGAAAUCUAAUGUGUUUUCUACAUUGUUUUAAAAUAUUAAAUAAAAAGAUUCAUAAUUGACAAAA
Long non-coding RNA from Vespa crabro (European hornet), 3408 nucleotides. RefSeq lists it as uncharacterized. Lineage: Eukaryota; Metazoa; Arthropoda; Insecta; Hymenoptera; Vespidae. The transcript has 2 exons. The record is from RefSeq and is a predicted model, not a curated record.